AUACGAAGGGUGCAAGCGUUGUUCGGAUUUAUUGGGCGUAAAGCGCGCGCAGGCGGAUGUGCAAGUCAGAUGUGAAAUCUCGGGGCUCAACCCCGAAACUGCGUCUGAAACUGCUCAUCUAGAAUCUUGGAGAGGGAAGGGGAAUUUCACGUGUAGGGGUAAAAUCCGUAGAGAUGUGAAGGAACACCAGAGGCGAAGGCGCCUUCCUGGACAAGUAUUGACGCUGAGGCGCGAAAGCGUGGGUAGCAAACAGGAUUAGAAACCCUAGUAGUCC
This 274-nucleotide ribosomal RNA is filed under the name uncultured bacterium. RNAcentral describes it as "partial 16S ribosomal RNA". It matches the Rfam family "Bacterial small subunit ribosomal RNA", at positions 523 to 796 of the family's 1533-position model. The record is from RNAcentral.